Molecule: ribosomal RNA, 2685 nt
Filed under: Veillonella parvula
Lineage: Bacteria; Bacillati; Bacillota; Negativicutes; Veillonellales; Veillonellaceae
Description: 23S ribosomal RNA
Rfam family: Bacterial large subunit ribosomal RNA
Source: RNAcentral
GGUCAAGUUAGAAAGAGCACUAGGUGAAUGCCUAGGCACCAAGAGGCGACGAAGGACGUGACAAGCUGCGAAAAGCUACGGAGAGGAGCAAAUAUCCAUUGACCCGUAGAUAUCCGAAUGGGGAAACCCACCGUAAGGUAUCCUAUAGCCAAUUCAUAACUAUAGGAAGCGAACCAGGUGAACUGAAACAUCUAAGUAACCUGAGGAAAAGAAAGAAAACUCGAUUCCCUGAGUAGCGGCGAGCGAACGGGGAAGAGCCCAAAGUGUAAAAAGAGACAAUAGCCAGCCAAAUAAUCUGGGAAGAUUAACCAAAGAAGGUAAGAGUCCUGUAGGCGAAAGCGAAGAUAUCCGACACAAAAGAGUACCACGGAACACGAGAAAUUCAGUGGGAAGAUGGGGGGACCACCCCCUAAGGCUAAAUACUACUUGGUGACCGAUAGCGAACAAGUACCGUGAGGGAAAGGUGAAAAGAACCCCGAGAGGGGAGUGAAAUAGAAUCUGAAACCUAGUGUUUACAAGCAGCGAAAGUGGCAUACGCCACGAUCGUGUACUUUUUGUAGAACGGGCCAGCGAGUUACGAUUACUAGCAAGGUUAAGCAUUACAGAUGUGGAGCCGAAGCGAAAGCGAGUCUAAAUAGGGCGAAAGUUAGUGGUUGUAGACCCGAAACCGUGUGAUCUAUCCAUGAGCAGAGUGAAGUUGAAGUAAAAUUCAAUGGAGGCUCGAACCGGGUAACGUUUAAAAGUUAUCGGAUGACUUGUGGAUAGGGGUGAAAAGCCAAACGAACACGGAGAUAGCUGGUUCUCCUCGAAAUAGCUUUAGGGCUAGCCUCUAGUAAGACAUGAAAAGGGGGUAGAGCACUGAUUGGUUGCGGGGCAUGCAUAUGUUACCAAAACCUAUCAAACUCCGAAUACCAUAUCAUGCACUAGGGAGUCAGACUAUGUGGGAUGAGCUUCAUAGUCGAAAGGGAAAGAGCCCAGACCAUCAGCUAAGGUCCCAAAAUUAUAGUUAAGUGGGAAAGGAUGUGGAGUUACUGAGACAACUAGGAUGUUGGCUUAGAAGCAGCCACUCAUUUAAAGAGUGCGUAAUAGCUCACUAGUCAAGUGACUCUGCGCCGAAGAUAACCGGGGCUAAACUAUAUACCGAAGCUAUGGAACGAAUAACGUUGGUAGAGGAGCAAUGUAUGAAGGACGAAGCAUAAGCCGUAAGGCAGUGUGGACAUCAUACAAGAGAGAAUGCUGGCAUGAGUAGCGAGAGGUGAGUGAGAAUCUCACCCGUCGAAAACCCAAGGAUUCCUGAGCAAGGCUCGUCCACUCAGGGUAAGUCGGGACCUAAGGCGAGGCUGAAAAGCGUAGUCGAUGGACAACAGGUUGAAAUUCCUGUACCGAUACAAUCGUUAAAGGAAGUGGGGACGCAGGAGGAUAAUAAGAGCGCCCAGUUGGUGAGGCGUGCAAGCGCAAAGUCUGGAGAGUAGGCAAAUCCGCUCUCCGAAAAGGAUGAAGCGUAAUGCGGAUCGAAAACAAGUAGAGAAGCUUAUGACUCCACACUGCCAAGAAAAGCCACUACAAGAGAAGUAUCGCCCGUACCGUAAACCGACACAGGUAGGUGAGGAGAGAAUCCUAAGACGAGCGGAAAAACCUUUGUUAAGGAACUCGGCAAAAUGACCCCGUAACUUCGGGAGAAGGGGAGCCCCUGUAACAGGGGGCCGCAGUGAAAAGGCCCAAGCGACUGUUUACCAAAAACACAAGUUUCUGCUAAGUCGAAAGACGAAGUAUAGGAGCUGACACCUUAAGGUAGCGAAAUUCCUUGUCGGGUAAGUUCCGACCCGCACGAAAGGUGUAACGAUUUGGGCACUGUCUCAACAAAGGAUCCGGUGAAAUUGUAGUAGCGGUAAAGAUGCCGCUUACCCACGACAGGACGGAAAGACCCCGUGGAGCUUUACUGUAGGCUGAGAUUGAAUUUUGGGAUUAAAUGUACAGAAUAGGUGGGAGGCAGAGAAUUAGGUACGCCAGUAUCUAAGGAGCCACCGUUGGGAUACCACUCUUUUAAUGCUAGAAUUCUAACCUAACCCCAUGAAUCUGGGGAAGGGACACUCUCAGUUGGACAGUUUGACUGGGGCGGUCGCCUCCGAAAGAGUAACGGAGGCGUUCAAAGGUUCCCUCAGCACGGAUGGAAAUCGUGCGCAGAGUAUAAAGGCAGAAGGGAGCUUAACUGCGAGACCAACUAAAAGCUACCCCGGGGAUAACAGGCUUAUCUCCCCCAAGAGUCCACAUCGACGGGGAGGUUUGGCACCUCGAUGUCGGCUCGUCUCAUCCUGGGGCUGAAGUAGGUCCCAAGGGUUGGGCUGUUCGCCCAUUAAAGAGGCACGCGAGCUGGGUUCAGAACGUCGCGAGACAGUUCGGUCCCUAUCCGUCGUGGGCGUAGGAAAUUUGAGAGGAGCUGUCCUUAGUACGAGAGGACCGGGAUGGACAAACCUCUGGUGCACCAGUUGUACUGCCAAGUGCAUAGCUGGGAAGCUAAGUUUGGAAGGGAUAAGAGCUGAAGGCAUCUAAGCCCGAAGCCCCCCUCGAGAUGAGAUUUCCCUCGAAAGAUAAGACCCCUAGAAGAAAAUUAGGUAGAUAGGCUCAAGGUGUAAGUGUAGCAAUACAUUCAGCUAGCGAGUACUAAUAGGUCGAAGACUUGACCAA